RNAcentral lists this non-coding RNA (255 nucleotides) under Lentilactobacillus parafarraginis. RNAcentral's name for it is "Lactobacillus parafarraginis T-box sequence". It matches the Rfam family "T-box leader". Rfam says of the family: Uncharged tRNA acts as the effector for transcription antitermination of genes in the T-box leader family. Lineage: Bacteria; Bacillati; Bacillota; Bacilli; Lactobacillales; Lactobacillaceae. The record is from RNAcentral.
UAUGAAGUUACGAUUAGAAAAGUAAUCAGUCCGUGAUUAUAAAGAGAGUCCGAAUGGUGAGAGCGGAUUAAUAGAACUGACGAACACACAUCUAUGAACUGGAUAAUUGAACCAAGUAGGUUAUCCCGCUAGUGAGCGUUACCACGGCUGCUGUGACUGUUCUCUAUUUUAGACGACUAGUGACAGACAGUGUAAGGUCGUUCAUCGUGAGGUGGCGACGAAUAUGAGGUGGGACCGCGAGAAAUCGUCCUCAGA